Molecule: ribosomal RNA, 506 nt
Filed under: uncultured Acidobacteriota bacterium
Lineage: Bacteria; Pseudomonadati; Acidobacteriota
Description: bacterial SSU rRNA
Rfam family: Bacterial small subunit ribosomal RNA
Source: RNAcentral
UGGGGAAUUGUUCGCAAUGGGCGCAAGCCUGACGACGCAACGCCGCGUGGAGGAUGAAGGUCUUCGGAUUGUAAACUCCUGUUGAUCGGGAAGAAUGUCCCUGAGGCUAAUAUCCUCAGGGAGUGACGGUACCGGUUGAGGAAGCCCCGGCUAACUCUGUGCCAGCAGCCGCGGUAAUACAGAGGGGGCAAGCGUUGUUCGGAAUUACUGGGCGUAAAGGGCGCGUAGGCGGCCAACUAAGUCAGACGUGAAAUCCCCAGGCUCAACCUGGGAACUGCGUCUGAUACUGGAUGGCUUGAGUUCGGGAGAGGGAAGUGGAAUUCCAGGUGUAGCGGUGAAAUGCGUAGAUAUCUGGAGGAACACCGGUGGCGAAGGCGGCUUCCUGGACCGACACUGACGCUGAGGCGCGAAAGCCAGGGGAGCGAAACGGGAUUAGGAUACCCCGGUAGUCCUGGCCCUAAACGAUGAAUGCUUGGUGUGGCGGGUAUCGAUCCCUGCCGUGACCG